UAAUACAUAAGUAACCUGCCCUAGACAGGGGGAUAACUAUUGGAAACGAUAGCUAAGACCGCAUAGGUACGGACACUGCAUGGUGACCGUAUUAAAAGUGCCUCAAAGCACUGGUAGAGGAUGGACUUAUGGCGCAUCAGCUGGUUGGCGGGGUAACGGCCCACCAAGGCGACGAUGCGUAGCCGACCUGAGAGGGUGACCGGCCACACUGGGACUGAGACACGGCCCAG
RNAcentral lists this ribosomal RNA (230 nucleotides) under uncultured bacterium. Its description in RNAcentral is "partial 16S ribosomal RNA". It matches the Rfam family "Bacterial small subunit ribosomal RNA", at positions 111 to 334 of the family's 1533-position model. The record is from RNAcentral.